RNAcentral lists this ribosomal RNA (306 nucleotides) under uncultured Psychrilyobacter sp. Its description in RNAcentral is "bacterial SSU rRNA". It matches the Rfam family "Bacterial small subunit ribosomal RNA", at positions 28 to 334 of the family's 1533-position model. Lineage: Bacteria; Fusobacteriati; Fusobacteriota; Fusobacteriia; Fusobacteriales; Fusobacteriaceae. The record is from RNAcentral.
GAUGAGCGCUGACAGAAUGCUUAACACAUGCAAGUCGACUGGAAUUCUUCUUCGGAAGUUAGCACGGUGGCGGACGUGUGAGUAACGCGUAAAGAAUUUGCCCUUCAGACUGGGACAACUAACCGAAAGGUUAGCUAAUACCGGAUAUUAUGAGACCUUGGCAUCAAGGACUUAUGAAAGCUAUAUGCGCUGGAGGAGAACUUUGCGUCCCAUUAGGUAGUUGGUAGGGUAAUGGCCUACCAAGCCGACGAUGGGUAGCCGGCCUGAGAGGGUGAACAGCCACAAGGGGACUGAGACACGGCCCUU